RNAcentral lists this ribosomal RNA (249 nucleotides) under uncultured bacterium. RNAcentral's name for it is "partial 16S ribosomal RNA". It matches the Rfam family "Bacterial small subunit ribosomal RNA", at positions 796 to 1041 of the family's 1533-position model. The record is from RNAcentral.
CACGCCCUAAACGAUGUCAACUAGGUGUUGGGAGGGUAAAACCUUUUAGUACCGGAGCUAACGCGUGAAGUUGACCGCCUGGGGAGUACGGCCGCAAGGUUAAAACUCAAAGGAAUUGACGGGGACCCGCACAAGCGGUGGAUGAUGUGGAUUAAUUCGAUGCAACGCGAAAAACCUUACCUACCCUUGACAUGUCAGGAACUGGCCAGAGAUGGCUUGGUGCUCGAAAGAGAACCUGAACACAGGUGC